AAGAACUGAUUUAGUGAUUCAGUUUUUGCCUCUAUCACCGUAUUCCCGCCACCUCUUUUGCUACUCACUGGUUCACUGGCAUUAAAUAAAUGGUCAUCAUCAAGGGUGUUCUAUGAUCCCUUGAAAUGAAAUUCUGAACGAAGUGAAAAGAAAUAAGCUGUUUUCAGACUUGGCCUCAACAUUUUGCUCCAGAGAUGAUACUGUAUCUCUAGGAAAUUAUAUAGAGAUAUCUCCCCCCUUUUAAAAAAACUUACCCCUAACCAAAUAAAAGUUUCCUUGCAUUUAGGAAAAACACAUUUAUCACCAGAAAAAGUAACAUGGACUAGGUGAGAAUCAGAAGCCGAUACGCGUCAUUAACAUUUCAGAGUCAAAUCAAAUCAACUCUAGAAUUUGUUUGUAUUUUCUGAAAGCCUUUGGAUAGUUUUAGGAAACCAUGAUUGGGGUUUGGCCAGAAAGGAAUUCCUAAUGUCUUGUCCUCUUUACUCUCAAUAUUAAAUGAUAUCACUGGACACUGUCAAAUCACUUUUAGAGGCAACUAAUGUUGCUUAUAUAAGG
This 555-nucleotide long non-coding RNA is filed under the name Bos taurus (domestic cattle). Its description in RNAcentral is "long non-coding RNA NONBTAT024918". Lineage: Eukaryota; Metazoa; Chordata; Mammalia; Artiodactyla; Bovidae. The record is from RNAcentral.